CGGAGGUGGAGUGCCUGGAUUAAAACAGGACAUAUUAGCUGCAUUUAACCUUCAGUUACUCUUUAUAUAGUUAAGUAGGAGUCAGGCCAUGUUUCUUUUUAGCUGAAAAACAUUACACCCAGAGAGACAGCCAGGUUCAUAAUGGAUAUGAGGAAGUUUUUUCAAAAAAAGGAGCCACAUUCAGAGGGAGAGAGGAAAGCGGGGAACAUGAGGAGAAAGUACAAGGUCAGGAAGAACCAGGUAAGAAAACAGACAGGGAAUACUAACAGGCAAAACAGAAACUGUUAAACUGGCAAAGAAAAGAACCCAACUAAUUUUACUCAUACAAUCUGGAAGUUGUGUUCUCCCUAUAUUAAAGCUGCUAUACAGAAUCUGCAAAACAAACUGGGUUGUCAGCCUGGCACUGCAUUACCAUAUUGAGCUUCAGUCAGAGGAAGUCACGGUUGCCAAAAACGUUUUGAAGCUCAAGAGUGAGGCUGGUGCCAUUCCAGAUAUGUUAACAUUGUACAAUAUUCUGGAUAAUCAGAUCUUCCCCACACUGAAAACUGUUAUUCAGGUUGCCC
This is a long non-coding RNA of Oreochromis aureus, 563 nucleotides long. NCBI's taxonomy places the organism in Eukaryota, Metazoa, Chordata, Actinopteri, Cichliformes, Cichlidae. The record is from Ensembl.